Long non-coding RNA from Engraulis encrasicolus (European anchovy), 431 nucleotides. RefSeq lists it as uncharacterized. The transcript is spliced from 2 exons. NCBI's taxonomy places the organism in Eukaryota, Metazoa, Chordata, Actinopteri, Clupeiformes, Engraulidae. The record is from RefSeq and is a predicted model, not a curated record.
UACCAGCACAUCACGCUGUCCAGUCCAAAGGCUGCAGCAGAGCAGAGCCCAGCCCAGCCCCACACAGGAACAAGACGGGACACUGAGGACAGGACAGCCCAGCCCAGCCCAGUCCAGACCAGCUUAAUCAUCCGUCCUACCCCCUGAAAGGAUAUUGAUCUACCAGCCCUGCCCAAUCCAGCACAGCCCAGCAGCUGCCAAGCCCAGCCCAGUCCAGUCUUGCACAGCACAGCACAGCACAGCCCUCUCCAGUCCAGACCAGCCUAGCCACUCGUCCUGCCCUCUGAACCGUGGACCAUCAUAGCAGCUGCCCAUUACAACACAUUCAAGCACAGCCUAGUAGUUGCAUAUGGUUUUCGUUCUCGGGUUUGUUUAAUGAAAACAACUUGCAUUAUGAUUUAUACAAGACAUUAAACGACUGACUUUGAUGA